AAUGAACGCUGGCGGCAGGCUUAACACAUGCAAGUCGAGCGAGCGGCGGACGGGUGAGUAAUGUCUGGGAAACUGCCUGAUGGAGGGGGAUAACUACUGGAAACGGUAGCUAAUACCGCAUACCAUCAGAUGUGCCCAUAUGGGAUUAGCUAGUAGGUGAGGUAAUGGCUCACCUAGGCGACGAUCCCUAGCUGGUCUGAGAGGAUGAUCACCCACACUGGGACGUGGCCACGGCCCAGAGUCCUACGGGAGGACGCAGUGGGGAAAAUUGCACAAUGGGCGCAAGCCUGAUGCAGCCAUGCCGCGUGUAUGAAGAAGGCCCUAGGGUUGUAAAGUACUUUCAGUCGGGAGGCGUUACUCGCAGAAGAAGCACCGGCUAACUCCGUGCCAGCAGCCGCGGUAAUAC
This 406-nucleotide ribosomal RNA is filed under the name uncultured bacterium. RNAcentral describes it as "partial 16S ribosomal RNA". It matches the Rfam family "Bacterial small subunit ribosomal RNA", at positions 29 to 526 of the family's 1533-position model. The record is from RNAcentral.